GGACUACACGGGUAUCUAAUCCCGUUUGCUCCCCUAGCUUUCGUUCCUCAGCGUCAGAAAAGACCCAGUGAGCCGCCUUCGCCUCUGGUGUUCCUGAUGAUAUCAACGCAUUUCACCGCUCCACCAUCAGUUCCGCUCACCCCUAUCUUCCUCAAGCCAUGCGGUUUGAAACGCAAUUCCUCGGUUGAGACGAGGGAUUUCACAUCUCACCUGCACGGCCGCCUACGAACUCUUUAAGCCCAGUGAUUCCGAAUAACGUUCGUACGGUUCGUCUUACCGCGGCUGCUGGCAC
This 292-nucleotide unclassified non-coding RNA is filed under the name uncultured Pirellulaceae bacterium. Its description in RNAcentral is "contains 16S-23S intergenic spacer region". The record is from RNAcentral. Lineage: Bacteria; Pseudomonadati; Planctomycetota; Planctomycetia; Pirellulales; Pirellulaceae.